This 75-nucleotide transfer RNA is filed under the name Bacteroidota bacterium. RNAcentral describes it as "Bacteroidetes bacterium (marine metagenome) tRNA-Gln". It matches the Rfam family "tRNA". From Rfam's summary of the family: Transfer RNA (tRNA) molecules are approximately 80 nucleotides in length. Their secondary structure includes four short double-helical elements and three loops (D, anti-codon, and T loops). RNAcentral also lists the same sequence under 2 other names. The record is from RNAcentral. Lineage: Bacteria; Pseudomonadati; Bacteroidota.
UGCCCGGUAGAGUAAUUGGCAACUCAGGGGACUUUGGAUCCCCUGUUGGAGGUUCGAGUCCUCCCCGGGCAGCUA